RNAcentral lists this ribosomal RNA (285 nucleotides) under uncultured bacterium. Its description in RNAcentral is "partial 16S ribosomal RNA". It matches the Rfam family "Bacterial small subunit ribosomal RNA", at positions 28 to 313 of the family's 1533-position model. The record is from RNAcentral.
GACGAACGCUGGCGGCGUGCUUAACACAUGCAAGUCGAGCGGUAAGGCCCUUUCGGGGGUACACGAGCGGCGAACGGGUGAGUAACACGUGGGUGACCCGCCCUCAGCUCUGGGAUAAGCCUGGGAAACCGGGUCUAAUACUGGAUAUGACUCCAUGACGCAUGUUGUGGGGUGGAAAGCCUUGUGCGGCUGAGGAUGGGGCCCGCGGCCUAUCAGCUUGUUGGUGGGGUGAUGGCCUACCAAGGCGACGACGGGUAGCCGGCCUGAGAGGGCGACCGGCCACAC